This is a non-coding RNA of Thalictrum thalictroides, 73 nucleotides long. The record is from the annotation of a GenBank genome assembly. NCBI's taxonomy places the organism in Eukaryota, Viridiplantae, Streptophyta, Magnoliopsida, Ranunculales, Ranunculaceae.
AGAUCAAGUGAUGAGAAAAUAACUGCAACAAUAUGAGAGAUUUUAUCUCAUGAUUCUUAGUAUUUAAUUGUUU